CCCUGUCCCCCAAGGCUGGAUCGGACCGUGAUUUGAAGAGAUUUGAUGACAUCAGUUAUGACAGCUUUCUGGGUCUGAUGGGACGGAGAAAUGCUGCUCUGACAAACAGGGACACUGAUCACAGCCUUGCUGAUCUGUUGGGGUGGAGAACAAGUAUGACUAGUCUGCGUGAAAACAGGUAUGCAGAAAAGAGGAGGCGGUUUCACUGAUGAUGGAAGGCAUAGGAUGGAACGCUUUGUUUAAUGGACACAUGACACAUACUUGUAUCAUGAACCCUCAUGGUGAAACUUCGGCUUUUCCAUCGCGCUGUAAAC
This is a non-coding RNA of Maylandia zebra (zebra mbuna), 314 nucleotides long. Lineage: Eukaryota; Metazoa; Chordata; Actinopteri; Cichliformes; Cichlidae. The record is from RefSeq and is a predicted model, not a curated record.